UCAGACGUCCGUGUGUCCAGCCAUCAAAAGUGACCUGAAAAGCAGCAUUGACAGUGACCAGGUGCUCAGGAAGUUUAUGCUUGUAAGACCCAAUGACUCCCCACCAAGAAUCCUACCAGUUUCCUUGGAACCUUUGCUCAUGACCAUUCAAGAUGAGCAUUACACACUGGCGAAAGAGAUCUGCAUCUGGGGCCUUCAACUGAGCAACCCAGAGAUUGCCAGACUUGCUUUGCUUCUGGAAUUGAAGGGGCACACCACCUGCCCGUUUACCACCCUAGAAAUCAUUGAUUGCAAGAUGGAUCUGUGGUCUCUAGAGCGACUUGGGAAGGCUCUGCGGUUCAGUAGUUUGCAUUCUCUUGUCCUCGAUUACUGCAAAUUUGGAAAUGAAGAACUUGAGAGCAUUUUCUCAGGCCUGGAGAACAACCAAAGGCUUCAAGGCCUCAGUCUGCGUUACUGUGGUCUGGGACCUCAGAGCGGGCUAAGG
RNAcentral lists this long non-coding RNA (484 nucleotides) under Homo sapiens (human). RNAcentral describes it as "non-protein coding lnc-RNF7-2:2". The record is from RNAcentral. Lineage: Eukaryota; Metazoa; Chordata; Mammalia; Primates; Hominidae.